GCAGCCUGAUCUAGCCAUGCCGCGUGAGUGAUGAAGGCCUUAGGGUCGUAAAACUCUUUCGCCAGGGAUGAUAAUGACAGUACCUGGUAAAGAAGCCCCGGCUAACUCCGUGCCAGCAGCCGCGGUAAUACGGAGGGGGCUAGCGUUGUUCGGAAUUACUGGGCGUAAAGCGCGCGUAGGCGGACUAUUAAGUCAGGGGUGAAAUCCCGGGGCUCAACCCCGGAACUGCCCUUGAUACUGGUAGUCUUGAGUUCGAGAGAGGUGAGUGGAAUUCCGAGUGUAGAGGUGAAAUUCGUAGAUAUUCGGAGGAACACCAGUGGCGAAGGCGGCUCACUGGCUCGAUACUGACGCUGAGGUGCGAAAGUGUGGGGAGCAAACAGGAUUAGAUACCCUGGUAGUCCACACCGUAAACGAUGAAUGCCAGUCGUCGGCAAGCAUGCUUGUCGGUGACACACCUAACGGAUUAAGCAUUCCGCCUGGGGAGUACGGUCGCAAGAUUAAAACUCAA
This 508-nucleotide ribosomal RNA is filed under the name Paracoccaceae bacterium. Its description in RNAcentral is "bacterial SSU rRNA". It matches the Rfam family "Bacterial small subunit ribosomal RNA", at positions 378 to 904 of the family's 1533-position model. Lineage: Bacteria; Pseudomonadati; Pseudomonadota; Alphaproteobacteria; Rhodobacterales; Paracoccaceae. The record is from RNAcentral.